GAUGAACGCUAGCGGGAGGCCUAACACAUGCAAGCCGAGCGGUAUUUCUUCUUCGGAAGAGAGAGAGCGGCGUACGGGUGCGGAACACGUGUGCAACCUGCCUUUAUCUGGGGGAUAGCCUUUCGAAAGGAAGAUUAAUACCCCAUAAAUAUAUUUGAUGGCAUCAUUAGAUAUUGAAAACUCCGGUGGAUAGAGAUGGGCACGCGCAAGAUUAGAUAGUUGGUGGGGUAACGGCCCACCAAGUCGAUGAUCUUUAGGGGCCUGAGAGGGUGAUCCCCCACACUGGUACUGAGACACGGACCAGACUCCUACGGGAGGCAGCAGUGAGGAAUAUUGGACAAUGGGUGAGAGCCUGAUCCAGCCAUCCCCGCGUGAAGGAAUAAGGUCCUAUGGAUUGUAAACUUCUUUUCUACAGGGAUAAACCUAUUUACGUGUAAAUAGCUAGAAGGUACUGUAGGAAUAAGCACCGGCUAACUCCGUGCCAGCAGCCG
Molecule: ribosomal RNA, 491 nt
Filed under: uncultured bacterium
Lineage: Bacteria
Description: bacterial SSU rRNA
Rfam family: Bacterial small subunit ribosomal RNA
Source: RNAcentral